RNAcentral lists this ribosomal RNA (253 nucleotides) under uncultured bacterium. RNAcentral's name for it is "partial 16S ribosomal RNA". It matches the Rfam family "Bacterial small subunit ribosomal RNA", at positions 524 to 776 of the family's 1533-position model. The record is from RNAcentral.
UACGGAGGGAGCUAGCGUUGUUCGGAAUUACUGGGCGUAAAGCGCACGUAGGCGGCUCAGCAAGUCAGGGGUGAAAUCCCGGGGCUCAACCCCGGAACUGCCCUUGAAACUGCUAAGCUAGAAUCUUGGAGAGGCGAGUGGAAUUCCGAGUGUAGAGGUGAAAUUCGUAGAUAUUCGCAGGAACACCAGUGGCGAAGGCGGCUUACUGGUCCAUAACUGACGCUGAGGUGCGAAAGCGUGGGGAGCAAACAGG